Long non-coding RNA from Gopherus flavomarginatus (Mexican gopher tortoise), 869 nucleotides. RefSeq lists it as uncharacterized. The transcript has 2 exons. Lineage: Eukaryota; Metazoa; Chordata; Testudines; Testudinidae. The record is from RefSeq and is a predicted model, not a curated record.
AAUUUGAGUUACACUAUUCACGUAACUCAAGUUGCAUAGCUUAGAUAGAAUUUCCCCUAAGAUAUGAAAGCUUUGUAAGGAAGCUUGAAAAAAGCCUAUCCUCACUGCACGUAACCGAAAUGCAAAUGGCUACUCAAAUUUCAGUAUCUUGCUAAUCUGAUGACCAGAAUAUAAAAAGAGUUAUUUUUGUUCCUAGUGAAUUUCUAUUUGCAUUGUGUAUUUCACUCCAUUUGUUCAAAGUAAACAGCACAAAUUAAUGAACUGAAUGAUUUUAACCUGACAGGAUAGUCAGUGUACAGCUUAAUAUUUUAAAGAGACAGGCUGAAACAUUUACCAGAAUGCUUCUGUGAAACUGCUUUUGGUAUUUUUAGCAUUACAUCCUGAAGUCUGUGCUUUAGAAGUGACAUGGAUAUACAGUAAAGCACAGUUGUUAUUCUUGGCUAAAUGAACUUGACUGAUUUCUGUGAUGCAAAUUUUUUAGUUACUGAUUGAGACUAAAACAUCAAUGUAAUGUUUUCAAAACAUGCAAGUAUUGGUUUGUACAGGAGCAGCAGCUGAACACCGUGAUAGCCUUUUAGUAAGUUUAGGAAUUUGUUGGUGUCACUCUGGCAUAAUCCUAGGUAACUCGGAAAGGGGGUAGACCACAAGUGUCAAUGAAGCCCUCCUGUGGUAGGCCUCAGUGAACUAAUGUUCCUCCAUGUUAAACACUUUGUGUAACCUAGUGUAACCUAAUAUGUUAAGAGCUGUAAAAUGUAGUGUUAGCAGUUAGUUUUCGGAAGAAACUGCUUGUUUUAGGGGGACAGGAUUUGAGAUUCUUAUUUCUCCCUUGCACCUUAUUUGAGCUCAAAUAAACUUGGUUUGAUUCUCCA